CCAUGGCAUGCAGAAGCUUGAUCUGAGAUCUCAGUUCCCAGACCAGCAAGUGAACCCAGGCUAAGAGUAAAAUCAAUAAUCAUAUCCUCACUAAGUGAGUACUUUUUAUUAAGUCUUCUGAAUUACCGAGUACUGUUCUCCAAAAGAAUGAAAAAGCACUUUUAUCCUCACCAUAUAAAGACAGUUUAUGAUUAAGCUAAAUCAACAUUAAAAAGGUUUUAAACAGGAUUGCACUUUUUCAUCAUGAACUGAACAGCAAAUACACACAAGGCAGCAACCAAAUUUCUGUGAGGAGAUAACAAGUGCCAUGUGAGGAGUGAAACCUGCAUGCCCACUGCUAAUGAACAUGUUCAGAAGCAGUUCCAGAGCUGAGGACCAUCUUCAGGAUGUACUAGUGGACAGAGAAUAAAAAGCCCCAGAGGCUGAGACCCAAGGAAACUGGGUGAGGAAGGAUGAUGAAGACACAUGACUCAGUUCGACACCUUCUUCUCUCAGGCAUGAGGAAAUAAUAGGAUGGAUAUUUUGAGGUUUGAAAAUCAAGUAAAUGAAUAAAGUAAAGUUCACCCAACGAAGACAACCAAAGAGAAACUAAAAUGAUAUUAAACUGAUUAAUUUAUAAAGAUGAAAAGUGGUUAAUUAUACAUCUAGUGAUGUAAGAAUACCUAUGACUGCAAAAUACGAAUAUCUGGUUCAAAUACGAUACUGAUGAAAUACAUAAUGGAAAUGAAAACUUAAGUAUUUAAAUGUUGGCUAGAUUUUUCCCAAUAUUUCAAAAUAAUUAUGAAAUUUUAGAGUCAAAAUGACUUUAAAAACUAUUCCUGCCUGUGGAUGAUUUUGAGUCUCUCAAAUUCAAGUAUUUAUUUUGCAUUAAUAUUAAAACGCUAGUAGUUAGGUCCUAUUUUUGUGGGGGUGGAAAUGAGCAUUGUCACAAUUCCCACAAAGACUUAAAAGUUGUAUUCAUCUUGCUCUCCAGAGUAAUGACAAUAAUGGGUAGUAAUUGUUCACAUUUUAAAGCUCAAAUGACACACAGGUUGAGAAUUAUUAUCUCUAGGUUUUGAGCGCAUGUGACUAGGAACAAGAAAUGUGGUUUCUACCCACAGGAUAAAGUGUGAGUCUCACCAGUCAAUUAUUUCUUUUGCCAAAAUAUAUUAUUUAUAUACACACAUACAUAUAUAUACAUACGCACACACACAUACAUAUAUUGUAGGAGAUGUGAAAGUCACUUGUUGAUCAUCAUAUAAUAUUAAAAUGUAUCUUAUGAAUAUGAUUAACUUGUAAAACAUUCAUUAAAAACACAUUGAUACCUAUGCAUCAAUUUUAAAAUACCCAUUCUGUAGUUCUAAGAAACUAUCAUCAAUGUAAUGAGGUAAAUAAAUAAAUAAAUGUAACAUCAACACCAUUUAAGGAAUGUUUGCAAUAAAAUUAACACUGGAUUUGACAUCAGAAUGAAACCAACUUUACGGUAGAACUGAAAAACCUAACACAAUUUUAUUGAGUAACAGGUUUAUACAGUCCCAUUAUAUGAAACAUGAGUAAGUUAACUUCAGUGAAAGAGCUACUACCACUUUAUUACUGGUAUAUCUGGAAAAUAAAUAUUUAUAUAAGAAAAAACGUCUUUCUUCUUUUCUCAGACCCUCCCUCUGGCCAAAGUUUAUUCUACCUCAAGUUCUGGAAAAGUAAAAACCAUUCAGAAUUAUGCAAAAGAAGACUGACAAAGAAACCUCAAGUUAGACACAGCUCUUUGAAGGGCUCUGCAUGCUGUGAUGAUUUGAAAUCUUGUGGUUUCCCAAGGGGAAGCUAUAACCAUCAGGGAGACUGAAGACAGUACCAGCUGGCUUAGCCAACUAAAAAGCCAGCUGUUUGGGGAGAUUAUUCUCAUUUAAAGCAUCUUCCAAAAACAGCUCUAUGUGGUUGGUUUCAAUUUUCCCUUUCUUUGACACUGUCAAGCUACCUUUUCAGCCUUUACAUAGGAAGAGCAAAGAAAAUAUUAACUUCCUUUAGAAAAGAACCAAAGACUUACUCUUUCUUUUUGUCCUCCUGAAAAAGUUUCAGACCUGAGUCUACUCAUUUAGUAAAACCAUCACCUUUCUUAUCCAACAGGAGUAUUUUAUGGAUGAUCACAAGCAACUUUCUGAAAAUGGGUAAUAUGUCAUGGGAAUGAAGAUAUGAAAUAAAUAUAUUUAUUUGAUACAUAUUAUAUAUCAAAUAUAUAAAUCUGAUAUAUUCAAUAUGUGAUAUACCAAUAUAUAUUACAUUAUAUAUACAUACAUAUCUUUUAUGCAAACAUGGAAACCUUUGGCUGGAAGAAGGAGGCAGAGGAGAGCUGGAGAAUACCUUGUGUGUGUAACCAUUAAAUUACUCUGUUCUGUCCCAUUUAGUAAUGAGAUAUGUCAUUAAUCUGUAAAAGUAGUGAAAGCAAUUGACUAAGAUGAUAAAUUUAAAACAUUUAUUUGGGGAGUUCCCGUCGUGGCGCAGUGGUUAACGAAUCCGACUAGGAACCAUGAGGUUGCGGGUUCGGUCCCUGCCCUUGCUCGGUGGGUUAACGAUCCGGCGUUGCCGUGAGCUGUGGUGUAGGUUGCNNNNNNNNNNNNNNNNNNNNNNNNNNNNNNNNNNNNNNNNNNNNNNNNNNNNNNNNNNNNNNNNNNNNNNNNNNNNNNNNNNNNNNNNNNNNNNNNNNNNNNNNNNNNNNNNNNNNNNNNNNNNNNNNNNNNNNNNNNNNNNNNNNNNNNNNNNNNNNNNNNNNNAAAAAAAAAAAAAAAAAAAAAAAAUUUAUUUGGUAGCAGAGAACAGGAAAGGUAUUCUCAGAACCCAGGAGACAACAUGCUAUCCUGUAGUUCACUUUGUGGGAUGGAUUCUCAGCAUGCGAGGGCUACCUGGGCAUAACACCUAAAAAGUGCUCAGUCUGCUACAAGAGAGGAAAAUACCUAAUAAUACAUAGUAUUAUAGUAAACAUUGCUUUUAGGCACAAGAAUAACUCUACUAUGUUACAAGAAAGAAGACUGAAUUCUUGACAUUAUCCCCAAAGCAAACCCUAACUGCAUGAAAUCACCUCCAAGGUAAAUGACUUCCUGAGGGGUACACUGGUACAAACAAUCCACAGGAGAAUUGGACAUGCGCUUUGAACUAUUUAUGCUACCACUAAGCAAAUGGCCAUCUAUUUUUAAAAUCUGACCUGCAUUUUCUGUUUUCAGAGUUUCAAACUUUAACUGUGAAACUUAAUUUUACAAGAAAAACAAUGAGAGGAAAUAGGAAAGGCUAUGUAUAGACUGCCAGUUCUAACUUCUUCAGAAAACUAUACUGUGCAUACUGAUUCUAGCAUUUUCUCUGUUUUAGGGAGUGUUUCCUCACCUCCCACGAACAUCUCAGGGUUUUCUCCUCCUCCUCCAUGACACCAGUCUAAUUUGAACUCCUAUGUUGAGAUUCAAAACAUACAUACAUACACACACCCGAUAUUCAACUAGUAAUACACAAUUGCUAAGUCAAAUAUAUUUUUAACACUAGAAAAACAAAAUCAGGGAUAUAGUCUUCCACUUAAAAUUUAUUUUUACAGCAGUUCCCACUGUUGCACAAUGGGAUCAGAGGAGUCUCUGCAGCGCACUCUCUGGCCCAGCACAGUGGGAUAAAGAAUCCAGCGUUGCUGCAGCUGUGGCAUAGGCUGCAACUACUGCUUGCAUCUGAUCCCUGGCCCUGUAAAGCCAUAAGCCGUGGGGUGGCCAAAAAAGAAAAAAAAAAUCGGUUUUUACUGAUGUGUGCUAACAGUAUUAACUACAAAAAUUAUCUCCCUAAAGGAUAUUUCAAACCAUGGAACUAACAAGAGCAUUUUGAUAAGAAAUUAAAGAUGCUAAGGCUUUGUAGGAAUAAUUUUUUGUAGCGACGAUGAUGUUCCUUUUUUAAAACCAUUUAAGCUAUAUAGUUAAGAGACCAUUAAGUCUUGGAAACACAACAAACAAAAACAGUAUUUAUCAACUUUUCAUUCUCUUUCCAACUGACUAUAAUAAUAGAUUGUAGGCUUUUUAUUCCCCUUUUUCUAUUUCUCUGAUAAAAGUCACUGUGAUAUCCACAUAACUUUGUGAGGUACAUGUUCUUACCUCAGAUAAGGCAACAAAAACACAGAGGUGAUAAACACCUUAUAUAAGGGCACAUAGUUAUUAGGCAGCAAAAAUGAGAGCUAAAGGCUGUUAAUUCCAAAGCCCUUGCUUGUAACCAUUAUGCUCUGUACCUCCCAAAACACUAUUCCCACAUGGAGCCUUUCUACAAACUAGCUCUGGAGAAUGAACACUUCAAUUUUCUAAAUAAUCAAAGCAAGGGUCUCUCACUCAUCAGAAUGCUAGACUAUUCAACCUAAACCCGGUCAGUCAACUACAGCACAAGGAGCAACCCAGAAGCUUGAGCGAAUGGACUGAAUGAUUUCUUUGGGGAAAUCUUCCCCUUAUCUUAAGACGGUAUUAUCUAAUUUACUGGACCAACAAAAGAGAUGAUGACCUCUUUGAAAUGGAAAAUGAAAAUAUUAAAUAUCCAAAGUAAAGUAAUGCUGUUUAUUUACAUACGUACAAGCAGACUUCAUUUUACUGAACUGCACUUUAUCACACUUCACAGAUACUGUGCUUUUGACAAAUUGAAGAUGUAAGACAACCCUGCAGCCAGCAAGUCUAUCAGCAUCAUUUUCCAAUAGCAUUUGCUCACGUCACAUCUGUUUCACAUUUUGGUAAUUCUCAAAAUAUUUCAAAUUUUUUCAUUAUUAUUAUGUUUGUAAUAGUGAUCUGUGAUCAGUGAUCUUUCAUGUUACUAUUAUGAGAAAGAUUACAAUUAACUGAAGGCUCAGAGGAUGGUUAAUAUUUUUUAGCAGUUAAGUAUGUUAAUUUAGGAAUGUACACUGUUUUUUAGACAUAAUGCUAUUGCACACUUAAUAAACUAAAAUACAGUGUAAGCAUACCUCUUAAAUGCAGCACUGGAAAACCAAAACAUUUUUGUGACUUGCUUUAUUGUGUUAUUUGCUUUAUUGCAGUGGUCUGGAACCAAACCCACAAAAUCCCCAAGUACAAAGUUACAUAAUUGGGAGUGGGGGGAGGCGGGGAAGGUGAAAUCUUUCCAAUUUAAGUAAAAACACCAAAGUAGUAAGCAAUGGAGUUUAAAAAGAAAACACAUGAACAUCUGGAUAUCUUGAAAUAACAAGGUAUCUCUUUUUUUAUGUUGUUGGUUUUACAGGUUUGUUUCUCUUCUCUCUAGGAUUUGAAUAAAUUCCAUGUGUUGGAACCACCUUCUGGUUCUAAGUAAGCAAUUCUUGCUUUCACUUGAAGGCCAAAAUAAAUUAAACAAAAUUAUUUUUUUAAAUUUAAACAAAUUAUGUGAAAUCUCAAGCAUAAGUAUAUUUGUUGACCAAUAUAAUUCAAUAGGUUUUAUUAAAUAUGAAGUCAACAUUUUAAAAUUACUGUUUACUAUGCAUUCAUCUAUUUUUUCAUAAUGUCUUCAAAAAAUUCAAGCUUUGGAGUUCCUGUAGUGGCUCAGUGGUUAGCGAAUCCGACUAGGAACCAUGAGGUUGAGGGUUAAAUCCCCAGCCUUGCUCAGUGGGUUAAGGGUCCGGCGUUGCCGUGAGCUGUAGUGUAGGUCACAGACAGGGCUCGGAUCCCUCAUUGCUGUGGUUCUGGCGUAGGCCGGAGGCUACAGCUCCGACUUGACCCCUAGCCUCGGAACCUCCAUAUGCUGUGGGAGCAGCCCAAGAAAUAGCAAAAAGAGAAAAAAAAAAAAAAAUCCAAGCUUUGAAUCUGGCAUCUGCAUUCUUUUUCAGCAGGAAUCAGGACUUUCCUAUUCAGCAAGUGACUCUCUGCAAGAACCUAAUAUGGUUCAGUAACAACAGAAAUAAUACAAACUACAAAGAGAUAUAUUAAAACAAUAUAUUUACCAGCCUUUUAUAAUCUCUUGUUUUAUACCACACUUCCUAAUAAAAACAAAGUCCUGGAUGAUUUUCGUA
RNAcentral lists this long non-coding RNA (5968 nucleotides) under Sus scrofa (pig). RNAcentral's name for it is "lncRNA (ENSSSCG00030004448.1)". Lineage: Eukaryota; Metazoa; Chordata; Mammalia; Artiodactyla; Suidae. The record is from RNAcentral.